This 486-nucleotide ribosomal RNA is filed under the name uncultured bacterium. Its description in RNAcentral is "bacterial SSU rRNA". It matches the Rfam family "Bacterial small subunit ribosomal RNA", at positions 30 to 513 of the family's 1533-position model. The record is from RNAcentral.
AUUGAACGCUGGCGGCAUGCCUAACACAUGCAAGUCGAACGGAGAUAGGGGCAACCUUAUUUCAGUGGCGGACGGGUGAGGAAUGCGUCGGAAUCUGCCCUAUGGUGGGGGAUAACACAGGGAAACUUGUGCUAAUACCGCAUAAUGUCGAGAGACCAAAGCAGGGGACCGCAAGGCCUUGCGCGAUAGGAUGAGCCGACGCCCGAUUAGCUAGUUGGUAGGGUAAAGGCCUACCAAGGCGACGAUCGGUAGCUGGUCUGAGAGGAUGAUCAGCCACACUGGGACUGAGACACGGCCCAGACUCCUACGGGAGGCAGCAGUGGGGAAUAUUGGACAAUGGGCGCAAGCCUGAUCCAGCAAUGCCGCGUGUGUGAAGAAGGCCUGCGGGUUGUAAAGCACUUUUGUUCGGGAAGAAAUCAUGCUGGUUAAUACCUGGUAUGGAUGACGGUACCGAAAGAAUAAGCACCGGCUAACUUCGUGCCAGCA